CAGAGUUGAAAAACUCCCAACCAUUGUGAACCUACCUCACCGUUGCCUCGGCGGGUGGCCCCUCCCCCUCACCCGGGGUCGGGCCGCGCAGGCUUGCCCGGAUCGCCCGGGCCAAGCCAGCAAUCCCGUCGGAGGACCACAACUCUUAGUUAUGUUUGGCCUCUCUGAGUACAACUUAUACAAUAAGUUA
This 190-nucleotide unclassified non-coding RNA is filed under the name uncultured Ascomycota. RNAcentral describes it as "sequence contains ITS1". Lineage: Eukaryota; Fungi; Ascomycota. The record is from RNAcentral.